UCUGGAUCAGUUGAACCCUGACUCUGCUGCACCACAUCCUUGAACUGUUGGAUUCAGUGUAUGUGCGUGAACAAACCAGGUAAUUAUCUUUUCUGCUUGCGUCAGUUGCAGGUAUAAAUUGCGGUCUGAACUUUUGCUGAUGCUGAGGAUACGCCCCAAAGAUGCUAAACUGCAUUUCAUUGCAUUUUUCUGAACAGUGUAAUGACAAUAAAGUCGAAUCUAAUCGAAUCAAACCUAAUCUAAUAUGAUCCAAGCUGAGGACAAUACUCUCAGACAGUUUUUAACAGAAGGAGAAGGAGAAAAAGAGUCACAGUUUAUGUUCUGCAUUAACCUCCUGAACAUGGAAGUUAAUGAAAGUUUUAAUCCAAAGCUCCAGGAUGCUAAUUAGUCUUAAAAAUUUAUCAUGCAGACAGUUUAGAUUUACCUGUACUUUCUCUUUUUCCCUCUGUGUGCGUUACUGUGAUUGUGUUUCAGCUGCAGCGGUUUCCCUCUGCCUCCUCAUAUUGCCUGCAGACUCUCAGUAUCACAGAUCUGAUCUUGUUUGAUUUGAGGCUGAAAUGAAUUUUCACACCUUCCUCUGUGUUUGUGUGUUACUGUUUAUUAUCAGAGACACACAGGAGACACAUGCAUUUAGCCUGAUGAAUAAACUUUGAUCAGACGGAGGAAUAACAGGUCUAAAUAACUGCAGACGGAUUGAUUUAAUGUAGAUUCAGGG
Non-coding RNA from Xyrichtys novacula (pearly razorfish), 715 nucleotides. NCBI's taxonomy places the organism in Eukaryota, Metazoa, Chordata, Actinopteri, Labriformes, Labridae. The record is from the annotation of a GenBank genome assembly.